UACCUCGUGAUGUAAUGACCAGCACAUUCGGCUCACAACCGAGAGAUCCUAGGUUCGAAUCCCGGCGAGGAAG
Non-coding RNA from Halocaridina rubra (Hawaiian volcano shrimp), 73 nucleotides. The record is from the annotation of a GenBank genome assembly. NCBI's taxonomy places the organism in Eukaryota, Metazoa, Arthropoda, Malacostraca, Decapoda, Atyidae.